GUUGACCUCNGAUCAGGUAGGAAUACCCGCUGA
This 33-nucleotide ribosomal RNA is filed under the name Pseudocercospora arthrospora. RNAcentral describes it as "Arthrophiala arthrospora partial 28S ribosomal RNA". The record is from RNAcentral. Lineage: Eukaryota; Fungi; Ascomycota; Dothideomycetes; Mycosphaerellales; Mycosphaerellaceae.